UGGGGAAUAUUGCACAAUGGGCGCAAGCCUGAUGCAGCCAUGCCGCGUGUGUGAAGAAGGCCUUCGGGUUGUAAAGCACUUUCAGCGAGGAGGAAGGUGGUGAGCUUAAUACGCUCAUCAAUUGACGUUACUCGCAGAAGAAGCACCGGCUAACUCCGUGCCAGCAGCCGCGGUAAUACGGAGGGUGCAAGCGUUAAUCGGAAUUACUGGGCGUAAAGCGCACGCAGGCGGUUUGUUAAGUCAGAUGUGAAAUCCCCGGGCUCAACCUGGGAACUGCAUUUGAAACUGGCAAGCUAGAGUCUCGUAGAGGGGGGUAGAAUUCCAGGUGUAGCGGUGAAAUGCGUAGAGAUCUGGAGGAAUACCGGUGGCGAAGGCGGCCCCCCUGGACGAAGACUGACGCUCAGGUGCGAAAGCGUGGGGCAGCAAACAGGAUUAGAUACCCUGGUAGUCCACGCUGUAAACGAUGUCGAUUUGGAGGUUGUGCCCUUGAGGCGUGGCUUCCGGAGCUAACGCGUUAAAUCGACCGCCUGGGGAGUACGGCCGCAAGGUUAAAACUCAAAGGAAUUG
This 567-nucleotide ribosomal RNA is filed under the name uncultured bacterium. Its description in RNAcentral is "partial 16S ribosomal RNA". It matches the Rfam family "Bacterial small subunit ribosomal RNA", at positions 355 to 912 of the family's 1533-position model. The record is from RNAcentral.